This 497-nucleotide ribosomal RNA is filed under the name uncultured bacterium. RNAcentral describes it as "partial 16S ribosomal RNA". It matches the Rfam family "Bacterial small subunit ribosomal RNA", at positions 28 to 507 of the family's 1533-position model. The record is from RNAcentral.
GAUGAACGCUGGCGGCGUGCCUAAUACAUGCAAGUCGAGCGAACAGACGAGGAGCUUGCUCCUCUGACGUUAGCGGCGGACGGGUGAGUAACACGUGGAUAACCUAUCUAUAAGACUGGGAUAACUUCGGGAAACCGGAGCUAAUACCGGAUAAUAUAUUGAACCGCAUGGUUCAAUAGUGAAAGACGGUUUUGCUGUCACUUAUAGAUGGAUCCGCGCCGCAUUAGCUAGUUGGUAAGGUAACGGCUUACCAAGGCAACGAUGCGUAGCCGACCUGAGAGGGUGAGCGGCCACACUGGAACUGAGACACGGUCCAGACUCCUACGGGAGGCAGCAGUGGGGAAUCUUCCGCAAUGGGCGAAAGCCUGACGGAGCAACGCCGCGUGGGUGAUGAAGGUCUUCGGAUCGUAAGACUCUGUUAUUAGGGAAGAACAAAUGUGUAAGUAACUAUGCACGUCUUGACGGUACCUAAUCAGAAAGCCACGGCUAACUACGUG